GUGCCAGCAGCCGCGGUAAUACGUAGUGUGCAAGCGUUGUCCGGAAUCAUUGGGCGUAAAGAGCUCGUAGGCGGUCUGUCGCGUCUGCUGUGAAAACCUGGGGCUUAACCCCGGGCUUGCAGUGGGUACGGGCAGACUAGAGUGCGGUAGGGGAGACUGGAAUUCCUGGUGUAGCGGUGAAAUGCGCAGAUAUCAGGAGGAACACCGGUGGCGAAGGCGGGUCUCUGGGCCGUAACUGACGCUGAGGAGCGAAAGCAUGGGUAGCGAACAGGAUUAGAUACCCUCGUAGUCC
This 292-nucleotide ribosomal RNA is filed under the name uncultured bacterium. RNAcentral describes it as "partial 16S ribosomal RNA". It matches the Rfam family "Bacterial small subunit ribosomal RNA", at positions 505 to 796 of the family's 1533-position model. The record is from RNAcentral.